RNAcentral lists this unclassified non-coding RNA (202 nucleotides) under uncultured cyanobacterium. Its description in RNAcentral is "partial 16S-23S ribosomal RNA intergenic spacer". Lineage: Bacteria; Bacillati; Cyanobacteriota. The record is from RNAcentral.
CGGUUCGAGUCCGCUUACCUCCACUGAUCGACCUCCUUAAAUUACGAAAUCCAAGGAGAUUGGCUUUGUUGUUGUGACUUAGUUUUAGUUUUUCUGAAUAUUGAUCCUAGCUUCCUAUCAUUCCCUUCUUAAAUUUUUAGAAUGAGGUUGAUAAGACGCUGGGCUCUUUAAAACUUAAAAAAGUUUUAUUGAAACUUCAGCA